RNAcentral lists this small nuclear RNA (19 nucleotides) under Arabidopsis thaliana (thale cress). RNAcentral's name for it is "snRNA_08749". The record is from RNAcentral. Lineage: Eukaryota; Viridiplantae; Streptophyta; Magnoliopsida; Brassicales; Brassicaceae.
UCACCAAGUGUUGGAUUGU